GUGAUCAUACCAGUACUAAUGCACCGGAUCCUAUCAGAACUCCGAAGUUAAGCGUGCUUGGGCGAGAGCAGUACUAGGAUGGGUGACCCCCUGGGAAGUCCUCGUGUUGCACCU
Molecule: ribosomal RNA, 114 nt
Filed under: Zingiber officinale
Lineage: Eukaryota; Viridiplantae; Streptophyta; Magnoliopsida; Zingiberales; Zingiberaceae
Source: RNAcentral